UGGGGGAUAUUGCACAAUGGGCGAAAGCCUGAUGCAGCGACGCCGCGUGGGGGAUGAAGGCUUUCGGGUUGUAAACCUCUUUCGCUAUCGAACAAGGCCCGCUUAGGGUGGGUUGAGGGUAGGUGGAGAAGAAGCGCCGGCUAACUACGUGCCAGCAGCCGCGGUAAUACGUAGGGCGCGAGCGUUGUCCGGAAUUAUUGGGCGUAAAGGGCUUGUAGGCGGCUUGUUGCGCCUGCUGUGAAAACGCGGGGCUUAACUUCGCGCGUGCAGUGGGUACGGGCAGGCUUGAGUGUGGUAAGGGUGACUGGAAUUCCAGGUGUAGCGGUGGAAUGCGCAGAUAUCUGGAGGAACACCGAUGGCGAAGGCAGGUCACUGGGCCAUUACUGACGCUGAGGAGCGAAAGCAUGGGUAGCGAACAGG
Molecule: ribosomal RNA, 420 nt
Filed under: bacterium
Lineage: Bacteria
Description: partial 16S ribosomal RNA
Rfam family: Bacterial small subunit ribosomal RNA
Source: RNAcentral